GGGAGUGCCUUGGUUUCGAUAAUAAACAUAUUUGCUUAUGUUGUAAGACAUGGACUCUAGGCUGCAUGUAAAAACACCUAGAAACUGAUAAGUGCAAAAGACUUAUUCGCUAAAGCUACGUUCACAUUCCGUGUUCCAGCUUUUGCUCCUGUUGUAGCUUAAUAGCCACAACCAUCUGGCCAAUGAUUUCUAGUAGUUGUUACCAGGUGUCAUAAACUAGAAUAGGUUAAGAUAGUACUUUUAUAUUUUAACUAAAACAAAAAUAAGUUCGUUGAUGACCAUCUUUUCUAAAUUUAUAAAUCAUCGACCAAACAGAUAAAUUAAGAUAAUCUUGCUACAAAAUGUAAUCGAAUAAUUUAUUAGACGCGGGUUCGAUCCCCGCCACUUCCACAU
RNAcentral lists this transfer-messenger RNA (393 nucleotides) under Patescibacteria group. RNAcentral's name for it is "BS150m-G62 sp016784175 Standard tmRNA". It matches the Rfam family "transfer-messenger RNA". Rfam says of the family: Bacterial tmRNA, also known as 10Sa RNA or SsrA, is named for its dual tRNA and mRNA-like properties. RNAcentral also lists the same sequence under 1 other name. The record is from RNAcentral.